RNAcentral lists this long non-coding RNA (1026 nucleotides) under Homo sapiens (human). RNAcentral describes it as "non-protein coding ZNF503-AS2:22". Lineage: Eukaryota; Metazoa; Chordata; Mammalia; Primates; Hominidae. The record is from RNAcentral.
AGGAAAAUGAAUAGCGAGAGUAAAGUGCGCAGGUGCGCCCAGGGCGCCGAGAGGGGCGCGCAGGCCUGGAGUGUGCGCCUGCCCUCUCGGUGUCGGAGAGACGCCCUUCCACCUCUGGGAGCCUCGGUCUGUUGGGGUCGCGGAGUUCGGGCGCGGCUCCGGGUACCCGAGACCAGCGGCGGCAACUUCUAACACGGGAGAUUUCCCGCCACCCCACCCCGCCGCCGCGAGUCCUCGCGGGGCGUGUUGCGUGCGGAGAAUCGACGGGAUUUCUCUGGCUGUCGUUUGCGCUGCAUUUAUCCGAAUACAUCCAGCUCGCAGGCAUCCUGCAAGAAACGGCUCCCGGCUCGCGUGUACGCCGACACCUCGGCCCAACGCAGGACUCGAGGUGGUUUCUAGUGCCCGGGUGGCUGCAAGUCUGCCCUCCGAGGGAGGCUGGACAAGCGGCGCCCCCAGGUCGAGCGGCCUCUCGCUGCCUGGCAGUGCCUGGCAGCCCCCACCUCUGCCAGUGCUUCGGAAACCCGCCUGGCCAGGUUCGCCCGCGGUGAAAAAUGAAAGCAAAUUCCCCAACAGAGGUAGCCGGAACUUUCCUCGACGAAGGCUCCCUCCUGCGCCUGUGUCUGGAGAACCCCCAGAGCGCUGCAAGUUAGCAAGAGAGAUUCGAUGGCGGCUCUGGAAGGCGCACGAAGGGUGGGGCGGGGGAGCAAAGAGGCCACUGGGUGACCCAGCCUGGUCCGGGGUGAAACGCUAGAGAAGGCGCCUCGCCUUCCUUAUUUCAAUGCAACUCCUCGGCCCCAGACGGUAAAAAUAGUUUCCAAGCUGCCGCGGACGCCCAGGAUGUGUUUGCAGAGAUCAAACUGGGGAGGAGGCAGCUUUGUAAAAGUUGCAGAAAGAUUAGCCGAGAAGCGUCCGCCCGGCGGGGCUCAAGAAAGCUUGGGGACAGCUCCAUGUUCCUUGGGGCGGAAUGGCCCAAGAAUUGGCCUGGGUAACCCCCUGCCCAGUUCUCUGUCCUCACUUCGAGCCAGU